RNAcentral lists this ribosomal RNA (484 nucleotides) under uncultured bacterium. RNAcentral's name for it is "partial 16S ribosomal RNA". It matches the Rfam family "Bacterial small subunit ribosomal RNA", at positions 28 to 507 of the family's 1533-position model. The record is from RNAcentral.
AUUGAACGCUGGCGGCAUGCUUUACACAUGCAAGUCGAACGGCAGCGCGGGCUUCGGCCUGGCGGCGAGUGGCGAACGGGUGAGUAAUGCAUCGGAACGUGCCCAGUAGUGGGGGAUAGCCCGGCGAAAGCCGGAUUAAUACCGCAUACGACCUGAGGGUGAAAGCGGGGGACCGAAAGGCCUCGCGCUAUUGGAUCGGCCGAUGUCGGAUUAGCUAGUUGGUGGGGUAAAGGCUUACCAAGGCGACGAUCCGUAGCUGGUCUGAGAGGACGACCAGCCACACUGGAACUGAGACACGGCCCAGACUCCUACGGGAGGCAGCAGUGGGGAAUUUUGGACAAUGGGGGCAACCCUGAUCCAGCCAUGCCGCGUGCGGGAAGAAGGCCUUCGGGUUGUAAACCGCUUUUGUUCGGGAAGAACUCCUCUGGGCUAAUACCCCGGGGGGAUGACGGUACCGGAAGAAUAAGCACCGGCUAACUACGUG